Dromaius novaehollandiae (emu) is the source of this 5090-nucleotide long non-coding RNA. RefSeq lists it as uncharacterized. The record is from RefSeq and is a predicted model, not a curated record. The transcript is spliced from 5 exons. Lineage: Eukaryota; Metazoa; Chordata; Aves; Casuariiformes; Dromaiidae.
CAUGUGCACACAACCAAAAUAAAAUACUAUAGCAAUCCUCUUAUUAUAUAGUUCAAGGAAUUGGGGACAUGAACUCUCCAGAGACUAGGAGGAAUUCAAGGUUAACCAAAUGGGGUAAUUUUACACAGUUUGUUAACAAAAAGGUAAUUGUAUUCAGAUGUACAAUAUAGCCUGAUUUUUACCUGCCACCUGACUACAUGGUGUUAGCAAUUCCUACAUAAUGAAAACAGACCAACAAAUAUUUCCUUCGGGCGGUUUUGCUAGUUGUUGUUAACACGCAGUUAUAAACUGAGCUCCCGUCUGUACUGCACGGGAGAAGUCCAGCAAUGCAUUACCUCAUAUGUAAAACAUACUUUUGUCCUUACCAGGACAUGGCCACACAUGUCUGAAAACACACUAACCGGGCCCCGAGUUUCCCUGAAAGCAGAGGAAGUGAUUCAGAAAACAGGAUCUGUUAAGCUACAGCGAGCAGCCAAGGUUAGUGAACGUGGCACUGUGCUAGCAACACGUACCACCGCAGGGGCUGGAGACGUGGCCGUGGCCGGGUCUCCGAUUCAGCAGAGCAUCUCCAGGAGGCGGCCACAGUAAAGCCGAGGCUUUUACAGAAUCCGAACAACAAGCAUUUGGCAACAGCGCCUGCAUUUCACUUUGUGGACUUCCUUCUGUCGAGGACCUCGAUACCUUUCCCAAGGGCUCAGAAUGGAGAUAAAUUCCUAAGACCAACAAGAGCCAACCUGAAUGCGUGACGGACGCUAGUGACCCUCACGGGACUCGGCGCCCUGGGUCGCGGCAUGGAAAACAAACCUCACCCGGAGCAGCCCCUCGGCGUAAGAUGAGCAGAAUCAGAGGCCGACUGAGGGAACUAGUUCCUGUAUGUACAAAUACACAUGCAAACAUGCUAUACAGCAGUUUAAAUAAACUCAUGCUGAAGAAGGGUGAGUUGUGCCAACAGCUUGUAAUGACAUGCUGUCAGGUAAGAGCUGGCACAUUUCUUGUGUCCAGCCGUGUAUACGUAAUGGUAUCACAGCAGGAGCUGAGCUGCUGUGGAAUUUAAGGUUGUGGGGUUUUUAAUAGCACCUAGGGGACAGGAUACUGGCACUCUCUGAAUAUUCAGUAACUUCCCAGCCAGAGCCUCUAUUCAUCCUCUAAUCAUCUACAGAUUAUUUAGGAGUUUACUUUAUCCUGUGAUAACUAAGAGUGCAGUUCUUCAGGUGAUGAGCAGUCUCCUUGCUAAAUAGGGAUGGCUGAGGCUGUUUUUUGCAAAGCUUUUGUCUACCUUUGCCCGAGCCUUCGUGACAAAUAAGUGGCUUCUACACUUGUAGAGGUAAGACCAGUAAAUCAUCAGCUAUGAACCCAUUUGUUCAAAGAAGAAAAGAAAGUAGUUCUGCAAUUCUACACCAGUGACAAGAUGAAGCUGUCUCAUACAAUAGCCCUAGAAACCUCUAGGCUCCUGGUAUUCUGAUUCCCUGGCUAUGAUUUUCCACAGUGACCAAGCAAUGUAUUUAAUCCUUUCACUGCCUCUGUGUAGGGUCUUGGAGCUUUAAGGUGUUGGAAGGAAUCAUCAGACUAACUCCUUCAAGGCCUUAGCAGGCAAGUUCUUGCACUGUGCCCCUGGGCAAAAAAAAAGAAGUUUUCUUCCAAAGCACAUGUUUUUCCUUUAGUAUGCUUUACUAGUUUAGGAAAACAAGCUCUUCCUUUAAAAAAAGAAAGUUCUUUGAAAACCUGGAUCUUUUGCAAAUAAUGUGUUGCUAAAGCUGACAUCUUGUUUCUCCCCACCGUGGUUAGAGAAAAUUUCUUCUCUGAACCUUCAAGACUUUUCAGUCCUCCUAAUGGAUUUUUUUUUCACCUGACUCCUAGAGGUCUGCUUAAAGAUCAGAAUGAUUACAUAUUUAGUUGUGCAUUAAACUACUUGCCUCUAAGUAUACGGUAGUCUUUUCAUCAAACCCAUCAUAGUGGAUACUCUUAUUUAUUCCUGCGGGAGCUGGGAGGCCUAAUCAGGCCCAGCACUUGCUGAUGUGAUCAGUAAAGCCUGGUGACUGGCUUAUUCUGUUAAAAUGAUCAGCAGUGAGAUAAUUACAUUCCACAUGCAAAUCGUCGUUGAGGGAGCCUGAAGGAAUACCCACCGACCUCAACGGGGCAUUUCACACCACAGUGAUAAGGUUCAGCCAGCAAAGAAUGCUACUGCCCUCUUUUUGAAUAGAGAGGAUUAGCAAGAGCUGUCUGUCUGUCUGUUAGUCUGCACUUAGCACCUCCAAGUAAGCUGUUUGCCAGGACAGACAGACAAUGUUUUGGAAUCCAUCUGGCAAAGGCCUUCUUCAUCCAGGUUUGUUCUGGGAAGAAACUUCAGGUGCUGUUGCGAAUCUCAGAGCAUGUUCUUUCACUGAAAAAUAUUGUUGUGCCGUUAUAUAAAGGCUGCUCAGCUAUUACAGUGAUGGGCACUCUAUUGAGGCCUCUAAUAAAAGCAACGCACAAAAGGAGAUAUGACAUUUGCACAUUGUUGGGCAUAAGGGCUUGUCUAUAGCAGGAAGAAUUUCUUGCUUUGGGUAUCUCAGAGAAGUUAAAGAUGCAGUCUUCCUGCCUAUGUCAGUAUAACUGCAUCUGCACGAGGGCUUUUAUCAGCAUAACCAUGUCAGCAAAAGGUCCAUCUCUUAACUGAUAUAAUUACACUAAUAAGGCUCUUUAAGUGUAGGCCAGCUUAUACAGAUGCUGCAGACAGAAGGAAAUGAGAGAAUUGCUCCUUUCAUCAUGAUAGCCUAAUGUCAGAGGCCUGAUGCUGACAUUUCGAGCAUUGUUAACCUCUGCUAUUUUAGGACUGUUGUGUAGGAGCCUGUCACCACUGGAUCCAGCUUUCAGAUACUUCUGGGAAUACAGGGCAGAUAUCUGGGUAGUGAGAUGUAAUCACCUUGGUUAAGGUUCUCCUUUGAGAACUUCUCAUCUACUUCUUGCCCUGUUUUUCCCUGUUGAAACUCCUUCAUAUGCCAGCAAGCCCAGCCCUUGUUUUACUUGAGCUCCAUGAUGAGAUCCCCAGUGGAUGGCUCCAUGACUACAUUAAAUUACAUGUUAGUAUGUCCUUCCCCUCUUCCUUCAAAGAUUUCAUUAUCUUGCACAAAGGCAUGUGAAAAGAGGAUUAAUGUCUCUCUGUAUUUAAGAGGAAAAAUAGAUGAACUGUUCAGCAGUGAUUCCUCUCAACCACGAGCAAGACAUGGAGCAGGAGCUAUGAAAAUAAAUUUGAAGCCAGAGGUGCUGGUUCAGAUUACAACUGUGCUAGAUGUGCUAGUCUCGAACUCCGGCUUGGUGAAAAAUGAGGGUUUGGCAUUUUACGGAGUGGCUGUCUGCGGCUCCCUUUGCCAUUGCACUCAUUCACACUGCUCUCCGUGCAACCCUUCACCCUGACAAUUGCACUGUCUCCAUUGUUUAUGGGGCCGGGCUGUGAACCAGAUCUGGGAAUAGAGCCAGCUUAAAAAAAAUAAAAGACAGAAAGAAAGAAAAGGGUGGGAGAAAGGAGGGAGGCUGUAUUCUCACUAAAAGCCAGUAUUGCCACUGAAACCCCAUCUUAUCAAAACACAGCCUUCUGCAGUGGUGGGAAGAGGAGCCACAGUCUCUCAGAGGGACAUCUGCAAGCCAAGAAGAGGCACCGUAACCAGCGCAGCCUGUACACAACCCCAGAUUUGUGACACUGCCUCGGAACAAAGGCUCUUGCAUUGCUUUUGAAAAAAACCAAACAAACCCCAACUCCAAGAGAGCCACAGCCAAGCAGAUGGGAACCACUGAAAAGCGUGCAUCUGAUCUUCGGAUGAAGAAGGGCGGGUUUCAUGCCCACCGUUGAAAGACUGCUCCAUCCAGUAAACUCUCAUGAAUGGAAAAUGAAGACAGCAAAGGAAGAAAUCGAACCGUCAUGUUCUGGAAAAGAAAUACAGCUUGGAAGCAGCAUGAAAUGAAGGAGUCAAUAUAACGUGAUCAGCCCAUUCCCCACAGAGAGCUAGGGCUACAGGGGACACAGGUGGAGAGUCACUAAAGGCAAAUCUGUGCUGCCAGGGGCUCUCAGCGCAGAAACCUCACACUAACGCAAACCUCGCCACAGAGCUGUGCCAGCGCAGGGCUGGGCCUCAGCUACGCCUUGGCUAGACACAGCCCUAACAGAGACGUCUUGCUUUCAAGCCUCCAGCUGGUACCUCUCCAAGAUACCACGUUGCACUCUGUGGAGAAACCUGCUCAGCUGGCGCCGGCUCACAUGCUCUGCCAUGGAAUAGCAAAGCUGGCACAAGCAGAGAGGAGUAGUCUCACAUUUGCUAAGCACACCAGACAUGAGCUACAGGUGACAUCUUCCCACGAGGGAAAUCAGUUUUCUGUGAUACUACUACAAACUAGCCCGUCAAGGCAAAGACUGUGGAGCAUCUUGGAUUUAGCUUGACCACCCAACACUUAGGCAAAUUUAGGACUGUCUGGUUCGGGCUAAUCUAAUAUGAAACAGAAACACCUCUGUUUUUCCUAGGAUAUAAAAUGAAAUAAUUAUUUCCUUCUACUUGGAUGAAACAUAGCAAACCCUACAGGGCUCGGUCAGAACUUCUGUUUCUUUUCCUGUGAGGAUGCAUUCUCAAAUACGCAGUCCAGAGUUUCUCAAAGUAAACACUAAGCUUAAUCUAACUAUGGUUUAAACUAUGGAAUGGAAUUAAUGCUAUAACAAAAUAUUUAUGAAGCACAAGCUCUGUAAACCAAGCAUGAAAUGUGUCAGAUAAAAACUUUGAAAAAUACAGGUUUUAAUAGAAGUAAUUUUAUAGAUGUACAAAGAAACCUUGAAGUGAAGCUGGAUCUGAUGCUGAAAUGGCAGACUUGUAAAACAGAGUGCAGGCAUGUAUGAGGAGAUAAAAUUAUCUGUUCUGCUGUUGAUUUGGUACAAGAGAUAGCACCAAAUAGUCACUACUGAGAACAGUGCACCCUUGAAAGCUAGAACUGCCAAAGGAGGGUGACACGUCUUUGUUCUGUAACCUCAGUCAGGAAAAAGCAAAGUAUAGAGCGUUAUGUUCGAUCCUCAGUCAAAAACAAAAAAACGCCAGUGAAGGAGCUGGAGAGGAUUUCCAAUCAGUUGUAAA